UGACGCACACAGGAGAGCCAGGAUUCAUGCUCUACAUCCCCAUAGAGGGGAAUGAGAUGCUCUUUCAUAAAUGAUACCAAGUGCAAGAGAACUUAAGGCAGCUCCAAUCGAAGACUGUCUUGGCUGCUUCUGGAAACUACAGAUCACUACUCCCGAAGUCAAAAACGACUAGAACACAGCUUAAAAAUCAAGCCAUUUAAUUGUAUCUUUGAAGGUUGUGCAGGGCGACCACGGAACGGAUCAGCGAGGCCAAGUACACUACCACCAUCUGGUCAUUGGUCUUCAGGUAAAAGGCCUUGACGAACUCCUGCAGGCUGACAUCUGGCAGCAGGUUGAAGACGUCCUGCAGCUGGUAGAUGAUCUGGUGGUUGAUGGGCAGCUUGCCUGUGGCGACUUUUUCCAGGUAGCUCCUGAUAUCCAGAAGCUUGGAGUUCAGUCCCUUCAAACCAUGGACCUGGUUUGUGAUCCGCUGGGACAGAGUGCCCACCGUCGUGUCUUUGAUAUCUCUGUAAUAACCCACAGUUAAAAAGGGCAGGAAA
This is a long non-coding RNA of Homo sapiens (human), 539 nucleotides long. The record is from Ensembl. NCBI's taxonomy places the organism in Eukaryota, Metazoa, Chordata, Mammalia, Primates, Hominidae.